GACCUAUAGAAUACUCAAGCUAUGCAUCCAACGCGUUGGGAGCUCUCCCAUAUGGUCGACCUGCAGGCGGCCGCGAAUUCACUAGUGAUUGGAUUAGGCAUGCAAGUCGUACGUGAAAGCCUUCGGGUGAGUAAAGUGGCGAACGGGUGAGUAACACGUAAUCAACCUGCCCUCGAGAUCGGAAUAACAUCUGGAAACGGAUGAUAAUGCCGAAUGGACUGCUUCUUAGGCAUCUUUGAAGUAGUAAACGGCGGCUUCGGCUGCUGCUCGGGGAGGGGAUUGCGGGAUAUCAGCUAGUUGGUGGGGUAACGGCCUACCAAGGCAAUGACGUCUAGCCGGUCUGAGAGGACGACCGGUCACACUGGGACUGAGACACUGCCCAGACUCCUACGGGAGGCUGCAGUCGAGAAUCUUCCGCAAUGGGCGAAAGCCUGACGGAGCAAUACCGCGUGUAGGAUGAAGGCCCUCGGGUUGUAAACUACUGUCACGCUAUAGGAAUGGCGUAGUGUUAGUAGCACUGCGAUUGACUAAAGCGAGAGGAAGCACCGGCUAACUCCGUGCCAGCAGCCGCGGUAAGACGGAGGGUGCAAACGUUGUUCGGAAUUACUGGGCAUAAAGCGCACGUAGGCGGUCCGAUAAGUCAGUUGUGAAAGCCCUCGGCUCAACCGGGGAACUGCAAUUGAUACUGUCGGACUUGAGGGUGGUUGGGGUGAGUGGAACUUCUGGUGGAGCGGUGAAAUGCGUAGAUAUCAGAAGGAACACCAGUGGCGAAAGCGGCUCACUGGACCACAUCUGACGCUGAGGUGCGAAAGCUAGGGUAGCGAACGGGAUUAGAUACCCCGGUAGUCCUAGCCGUAAACGAUGGGCACUAAGUAGAGGGGUUUUAAUCGAAUUCCCGCGGCCGCCAUGGCGGCCGGGAGCAUGCGACGUCGGGCCCAAUUCGCUCUAUAGUGAGUCGUAUUACAAUUCA
This 970-nucleotide ribosomal RNA is filed under the name uncultured Planctomycetota bacterium. Its description in RNAcentral is "uncultured planctomycete partial 16S ribosomal RNA". It matches the Rfam family "Bacterial small subunit ribosomal RNA", at positions 1 to 863 of the family's 1533-position model. The record is from RNAcentral. Lineage: Bacteria; Pseudomonadati; Planctomycetota.